Macaca fascicularis (crab-eating macaque) is the source of this 111-nucleotide small nucleolar RNA. The record is from Ensembl. Lineage: Eukaryota; Metazoa; Chordata; Mammalia; Primates; Cercopithecidae.
AUCCAAAGUUUGUGAUUCAUAAGGGCAAUGAUUGGGUUUUCAUGCUAAUAUGUGAGAUGUGACUCCUUCAAACUUCUUUGUUAUGACAUCAGCCACAUUACUCAUCUGACG